AGUGAACGCUGGCGGUAGGCCUAACACAUGCAAGUCGAACGGCAGCACAGUAAGAGCUUGCUCUUACGGGUGGCGAGUGGCGGACGGGUGAGGAAUACAUCGGAAUCUACUUUUUCGUGGGGGAUAACGUAGGGAAACUUACGCUAAUACCGCAUACGACCUACGGGUGAAAGCAGGGGAUCUUCGGACCUUGCGCGAUUGAAUGAGCCGAUGUCGGAUUAGCUAGUUGGCGGGGUAAAGGCCCACCAAGGCGACGAUCCGUAGCUGGUCUGAGAGGAUGAGCAGCCACACUGGAACUGAGACACGGUCCAGAAUCCUAAGGGAGGGAGCAGUGGGGAAUAUUGGACAAUGGGCGCAAGCCUGAUCCAGCCAUACCGCGUGGGUGAAGAAGGCCUUCGGCUUGUAAAGCCCUUUUGUUGGGAAAGAAAAGCAGCAGGUUAAUACCCCGCUGUUCUGACGGUACCCAAAGAAUAAGCACCGGCUAACUUCGUG
Molecule: ribosomal RNA, 492 nt
Filed under: uncultured bacterium
Lineage: Bacteria
Description: partial 16S ribosomal RNA
Rfam family: Bacterial small subunit ribosomal RNA
Source: RNAcentral